CUAUUGGAUCCAGACUUUGAUUCUGGCUCAGGAUGAACGCUAGCUACAGGCUUAACACAUGCAAGUCGAGGGGAAACGACAUUGAAAGCUUGCUUUUGAUGGGCGUCGACCGGCGCACGGGUGAGUAACGCGUAUCCAACCUGCCCAUCACUUGGGGAUAACCUUGCGAAAGUAAGACUAAUACCCAAUGAUAUCUCUAGAAGACAUCUGAAGGAGAUUAAAGAUUUAUCGGUGAUGGAUGGGGAUGCGUCUGAUUAGCUUGUUGGCGGGGUAACGGCCCACCAAGGCGACGAUCAGUAGGGGUUCUGAGAGGAAGGUCCCCCACAUUGGAACUGAGACACGGUCCAAACUCCUACGGGAGGCAGCAGUGAGGAAUAUUGGUCAAUGGACGAGAGUCUGAACCAGCCAAGUAGCGUGCAGGAUGACGGCCCUAUGGGUUGUAAACUGCUUUUAUAAGGGAAUAAAGUGAGAGUCGUGACUCUUUUUGCAUGUACCUUAUGAAUA
Molecule: ribosomal RNA, 504 nt
Filed under: uncultured organism
Description: bacterial SSU rRNA
Rfam family: Bacterial small subunit ribosomal RNA
Source: RNAcentral